GCUCAUGAAGGCAGGAGCAUCAAGGUGAGCUCGGGAAAUCAUUGGACUUUACGCCCCAAAACACCAACGACAUUACACAACAACACACGCGUUUCAUCAUCAUCCCUCGCAGCGGUCAUCUCGAGGUGCUUUAGAUUGGCUUCUAUAUUCUGAAGAUCUAAAAGUUUCUGGAGAAGAGGACCCAAGCGUAGGAGGACGAGGAAGUGGACACAAAUGAACUUACGGAAAUACCACAUCAUACACAACUACUGGGAGCCUGGUUCAGGUUUCGGGUUUUGACCUGGAAUCUUCAUCUGUCAGAUAGGCAGGCUGUUAAGGCAUUGCCAUGGAAACACAAGGGAGUGAAAUUACAGUAAAGUUAAGAGGGAAGCUGUACCAAGGAGCCCAGUCCACCACUCUGUGAAGUGCUGGUAAAAUUCAAGACCAAAGGCAGCACAACAUCAUCUCUCUGGGGCUGAGAGAACUACAGUCUGCCAUAAAGUUCCUGAGUGUUCUUUUAGUCUCUCACAUCUUUCAGAGAAACACUGCAAGUUUUACCCCAACUUGUACACAAUCACCACACAAGAGCCUUCCUCAGCAUGACAGUAAUCAGAUGUCUGCAGUUGUUUCCUCUAAAGUAAAAGCAAUAAGUAGAUUCUAUUUCAGUCUCUAAAACAGAUGGGGUGUUAAAGAUUUAUGGGGCUGAUGAAGGAAAAAAAUGAGUCAGGAAAAGGGAGGAGAGAAAGAAGGAGAGUGUGAGACAGAUGGAGGAAAAGCAUCAAAAUUUUGAUUGGAUUUAUUCAGUUUUGCAAGUCCAGAGAUUCGGAUCCACACUAGCAUUUAUAGGCAAAUAUAUACAGUGCAUUGCAGUCUGUGAGUAUUUGCAGAGCAACACAUUUUUAUUUUGGCACAUUGGUUUACCACAGUGCUGACUUUAUUCUUUAAAAUUAUUCCCAGCUGCACUGAAAACAUGUAGAGCUAUUCCAUGAACUGCUAUGAACAGAUACACUGAAACAAGAGUGAUUUAAUUGGAAAAUGUGAGUUAAAAGAAG
Molecule: long non-coding RNA, 1031 nt
Organism: Oreochromis niloticus (Nile tilapia)
Lineage: Eukaryota; Metazoa; Chordata; Actinopteri; Cichliformes; Cichlidae
Exons: 5
Source: RefSeq, a predicted model, not a curated record